CUCAAAAAAAUGAUUCUUGCCACUAUUUGAAAUUAAGCAAAAAAAUCUAAUAAAACAUAUUUAAAAACUAAUAAAAAUACCUAUUAUUACUCCAAAUUACUUUAAUACAACAUGAAUGAAAUGGAUCCAAGACCAACCUGAUCAAAUUACAUAAACUAUACUUAAUUCGUUGCCAUAAGGCGCAAAUGCAAGUGUUGCGCAUGCUCACUGAAGCCUGAGUUCCAAAAACAACAACUGAAGGCGCAAUGGCGAUCUACUGUCUGACUCGGCGAAAAGGAGGAUUUGGAUGAAUAGAUGUGGAUGUUUAACAAGAAACCUCUUCAGUGGGACAAUAACUCAAUUAUGAUAUGUGAGUUUUGUGGCAACGUAAAGUGUGUGAGAAGCAUCACAGAAGUAUCCAGUAUGUUUAAGUAAUUGAAACAUUCUAAGAUUAAACUUGGACAUUUUGAGGAGAGAUUCAGUCAACAUGUUCACAGUAAAUUAAAUAAAAGCAGAAUUAAUGCGGAUAACGACUGAGCCACUUCUGUCAACGUUCAUAGCAGCUGGACAGAUACACUAAUCAAAUUAAAGUUUUCAGCAGCAAAGGAGCUUCUGGACAAAAGAUAUCACACACGUUGCAGUGGCAGACAAGUGCGAAGAUAUACACUUCAAAUGAGACUGUGUUAUAAAGAGUCUGUGUGGUGACAUUACAACACUUCCAGUUUUCCAGAAUUAUUCCAGAAUUCCAGGACUGCAGUCCUGAAGGAACUGAGGGAGGAAUUUCUGAGACCACUCUGGGCCCUUUUGUGACCCUUAAAGAAAGCGCUGAGGAUGAGCCAGUGGAUGUUGGCGUAGCAACAGAGGAUUUAAAACUACUACAACACUUAGGAGUUUUUCCUUUGGAUGCUGUUUGCUGUUUGGAUUGGAUCUACGCAAUCAAGCUAUGCUCCGAGUCUCAAAUUCACUUUUGAAUUCUUCCAAAAGGUACUGAUAAAUUUAGAUUUUAGGACAUCACAUAGAUGUUUCGAUCCACUGGAAGGACUUAGAAACUUUGAAAACUAAAACAUUGAAUUGAAGACCGUAUGAUCGAUGACACUAUGAACCAAUGACACUUACUCAAAUCAAGAGACUACACCUAAUGCACCUUCUGGCUUCCUCUAACUCUGAUAUUUUUAAAGGGUUAGUUCACCUAAAAAUGAAAUUUCUGUCAUUAAUUACUCACCCUCAUGUCGUUCCACACCCGUAAGACCGUUGCUCAUCUUUGGAACACAAAUUAGGUUAUUUUUGAUGAAAUCCGUGAGCUAUCUGACCUCAGAUAGACUGCAACACAACUACCACAUUCAAGGCCCAGAAAGGUAGUAAAGACAUUGCUAAAAUAGUCAACGUGACUGUAGUGGUUCAACCUUAAUGUUAUGAAGUGACAAAAAUGCUUUUUGUGUGCAAAAAAACAAAACAAAUAUAACGACUUUAUACAAAAUUUCUUCCCUUUUAUGUCAGUCUCCUAUGCAGUUGACGUUGUACACACAUAAUAUCUUAAUUUGUGUUCUGAAGAUUAAUGAAGGUCUUAGGGGUUUGGAGCAAAAUUAGGGUGGGUAAUUAAUGAAAGAAAUUUAAUUUUUGGGUGAACUAACCCUUUUAACAGAGAUGUUAGCCCUUGUGCUAUUCCUUGUCCAGGAAGUUAACUUGUGAGUAGGACACUUGGGCUACUGAAUGUCUAAAUGCUGAAAUGUGACAGACAACAGAAAACCUGUUAUAUGUAAAGUCAAAUAUAAUCCUUUAGAUUGCUUUUCUUUUUUCCCCCAAGUGUCCUGAUUGUUUGACUAUCAUACUAUGCAGAGAGAUCCCAAUGUUACCUUGAAUAUAUGAAAAUAAUGCUUGAUGUUGAUAUUUGGUUCCUUGUUGAUCUAUGAACUUUUUGGCACACAGACUUAAAACUAAAAAGUCAAACAAGGAGCCAUAACCAUUGUGUUAGUUUGGGAGAAGGCACAAAAUUGCUGUAAACAGUUGUGAAAUACUGCAUUGUGUUCUAUUUUUUUGUCAGAUUGGAUGUUUCUUAUUAUUCCUGCAGCAAUUGAGACAAUAAAUUUUUAUGAAUAUAA
Long non-coding RNA from Megalobrama amblycephala (Wuchang bream), 2078 nucleotides. RefSeq lists it as uncharacterized. The transcript has 6 exons. NCBI's taxonomy places the organism in Eukaryota, Metazoa, Chordata, Actinopteri, Cypriniformes, Xenocyprididae. The record is from RefSeq and is a predicted model, not a curated record.